UUUUCACUUUGGAACUCUCUGUUUUCUCAGGGCUGAUAAUGCUUUUUUCCUUAAGCUUAACUUCUCAAGGAAUGCAGGAAGGGAAAUUUAAAAAGUGGACUGUUUGGUCGUGGCUAACAGUAGCCGUUAAUGCUUUCGGGGGAGUCGCAGUGGGAAAGGUCACCCAGCACGCCGGCAGCGUUAAAAAGGGCUACUGCGUUGCUGGAGGGAUUCUGUUGACUGCUUUUUUGGAAUUGGUGCUCGGUCAUAGAACUUUUACGCUAAGGCUAGUUCU
Long non-coding RNA from Zophobas morio, 274 nucleotides. RefSeq lists it as uncharacterized. Lineage: Eukaryota; Metazoa; Arthropoda; Insecta; Coleoptera; Tenebrionidae. The transcript has 3 exons. The record is from RefSeq and is a predicted model, not a curated record.